RNAcentral lists this ribosomal RNA (322 nucleotides) under uncultured eukaryote. Its description in RNAcentral is "partial 18S ribosomal RNA". It matches the Rfam family "Eukaryotic small subunit ribosomal RNA", at positions 1470 to 1796 of the family's 1831-position model. The record is from RNAcentral.
CCCUUAGAUGUUCUGGGCCGCACGCGUGCUACACUGAGUGGAUCAGCGGGUCAGGUUGCGCGAAAGCGUUUCCUAAUCUUUAAAUCCGCUCGUGAUGGGGAUUGACGGUUGCAAUUUUCCGUCGUGAACGAGGAAUACCUUGUAGGCGCAUGUCAUCAUCAGGCGCCGAAUACGUCCCUGCCCUUUGUACACACCGCCCGUCGCUCCUACCGAUUGAGUGAUCCGGUGAGGCUCUGGGACCUGGACGGAAAGAGCGUUUCGCUUGUUCUGUUUGGGAAACUUGGUCGAACCUUAUCAUUUAGAGGAAGGAGAAGUCGUAACA